RNAcentral lists this ribosomal RNA (506 nucleotides) under uncultured bacterium. RNAcentral's name for it is "partial 16S ribosomal RNA". It matches the Rfam family "Bacterial small subunit ribosomal RNA", at positions 30 to 523 of the family's 1533-position model. The record is from RNAcentral.
AUUGAACGCCGGCGGCAGGCCUAACACAUGCAAGUCGGACGGUAGCACAGAGGAGCUUGCUCCUUGGGUGACGAGUGGCGGACGGGUGAGUAAUGUCUGGGGAUCUGCCCGAUAGAGGGGGAUAACCACUGGAAACGGUGGCUAAUACCGCAUAACGUCGCAAGACCAAAGUGGGGGACCUUCGGGCCUCACACCAUCGGAUGUGCCCAGAUGGGAUUAGCUAGUAGGUGGGGUAAUGGCUCACCUAGGCGACGAUCCCUAGCUGGUCUGAGAGGAUGACGAGCCACACUGGAACUGAGACACGGUCCAGACUCCUACGGGAGGCAGCAGUGGGGAAUAUUGCACAAUGGGCGCAAGCCUGAUGCAGCCAUGCCGCGUGUAUGAAGAAGGCCUUCGGGUUGUAAAGUACUUUCAGCGGGGAGGAAGGCGGUGAAGUUAAUAACUUCACCGAUUGACGUUACCCGCAGAAGAAGCACCGGCUAACUCCGUGCCAGCCGCCGCCGUAA